AGCCAAGGGAGAAAUCCUUGGUGCAAAGAAAAAAAUGUUAUGAGGCUGGGUCUGUGGUUCCACAGACGGAAAUAAAGAAUGUUAACUCAUGCUUUUUGUGGAGUAAAUUCCUGGGUUCCUGGCUCUCAUUGUGGAAAAGGAAUUUUCAGGAUGCACUGGUGGAAAUGACACAAAAAGCGUUUAUUAGAGAUUUUUAGGACACACUGAGGCUUGGAGUGUGGGUGCUCAGAGAAAAUGCACAGUAGGAGCUGGAGCUGGUGGGUAUUAGGGUCCUCGAGGUGGAAUCUGGAGUGUGCAUUGUAGCUGUGUCAGGUCACAAACGCAUCUACAUGUAUGUAGGGUUGAGCCUUGCUGCUGCUCCCUGAGAGUGAAGGGAUCGCACUGUACAGAUGAAAAGAACAGAUUCACAGCCUUACUGUCAAAGCAGUUUUAAGGAUUUUUUUUUUUUUUUCUUGAGGGAGUUUCCUUGAAGAAAAUGAAAAAGAAGAUCUGAGUGGCCUUUGUGACUUGGAGCUGCAGUUUUGGGACCAUGCUUCUCAUGCUUCUCAUCUUACACUCAUUCCCCUUUCCUCAGACACUUCAGGACUCAGUGUGAAGAUGAGAAAGUGAACCUCCAGCCUCAGGAACCGAAGCAGCCAGAUGAAGUUAGAACAGCCGUGUCAAGGAAAGGAACACGCAGGUGUUGGAAAGGGAGGGAUCCCACUUUCCAAAGGAAGGCUGCAGAUGAGUUUCUCCGUGAACUUUCCUCAUAAGCUCGGAACAAUUUUCCACCCGUGGCCUAUUGUCCCAUGACUGGAUGCUGGGGCUCCCCAGCAUAUGGAGGAAUGCACCCUGUGAAAUGGUGACUGUACCCAAACUGUCUAUUUUAUGAUCAAGAAAAAACAGAAGAGGACUGACCAUCAGCAUCUCCAAGCUCUCCAAUGGAAGCACAGGUUUCCUUGGUUCUAUUUCAUUGACACAGGACCAAAGGUCUUUCCAAGAUGAACCAGCUAACAGAGAUAUAUGGGGCCAUGAGCCAGUAACAUUCAUGGUAGUAACUGAACACCCACUCAUCUCUCAUGCCCGAGGCCCCACCACACCAGAACACAGUAGCACUGUGCUCUGAGAUACCUUUGAUGCCUGUGGGUCUGGGAAGCCACCGGAACUAUGAAGAGGUGCUGGGAAGUGACAGCUUCUGGGGAUUGUGAUCAGAAGGAAAGUCUGAUCACAACAAUGCUGACCCUGCCUGACUCCACUUUGCAUGAGCCAGUUAACAUGUGAAGGGACAGUGAGGCCUAUGUGAAAGGCUGGUCGCAUGUCUCUGCAUCUGCACUGAGCUGGGUCCUCUUGGCUUGCCUCUCCAUUUCUGAGAGGACAGCUUUCUGUAGAUCUAGUGAGAUCAGAGCUGGAGAUGAAGAGAACCCUACAGUUACUUCACUAAGUAUUUGAGUGUGUGUGUGUGUGUGUGUGUGUGUGUGUGUGUGUAUGUGUGUGUGUCUGUGCACAUCUAUGUGAAAUAGAGGAUUAGGGACAGAGAUAGACAAGAGACAGAGACAGAGAGAGACAGGCUUAAACUAAACCUCCUCUUUUGUUGACUUUAUUGUAUGUCUGCUAUGGAUUUGAGCCCCCUCUGGGGGUAGCAUAGGGAGGGGUGGGGACUGUCGGGACAUUUCCUCCAGGACCAGGACCUGAAGCCAACACUGCAACCUAUUGUGCCGGUACGUUCAUUUCAGCUGCUCUUUGAAUCUGAGCCUUGUGACGAGCUUGGGUAUCUUGCUGCUCUUCAGCCAUUGGCUCAGAAUGCUUCCCUCACCUGUCCACUCUGGUCGUCCAGUGGAGGUCUUCCUGCUCCUGGAGCUCAUAUCCUAGAGAGCAACGAUGCAGUCGCCAGUCCUCUCGGCACAGCUCUGCCUCCCUGCAGGUGCAGAAUGUCCCUAGAGAGCCCUGCGUCUCCAUUUCCACAUCUGCCAAAUGAGGGCUUCUCUGAGGACGUUUCUUGGCUCCAACAGGCGUGGGUUUUGGCCAGGCAGCUCCUGUCCCACCCACUCCGGCUUUGCUUUACCCUUUAUUCCCUGUUGUUUUCUUGCCGUGGCUCGCCCCAGCCCAUCUUCUUUCUGCUGGUUCCUUGAGGUAUACUUUCUUCAUUCACACCAAGUUCUUUCUUUCCUCUAGAGAUAACUAGAGAAACUCAGAUCCCUCCUAUAGUUCCUUGUUCCUUUCUUUUCUAAAAUGGGUUUUAUGUUUAUAGAAUAUCUUUUACUAUAAAAUUAAUAUAUAGAUGUUAGAGAAUAUUGAGAAAAUAAGAACCAAAAAAAAAGCGCCAAAAACUCAAAAGCACUCACUGCAUAAGCUGAUGUAUUUUGGUUCUUAGGACACCCAGGACUUUCUGCAGGGUGAGGCCCCGGCAGCUCUCCCCAUGACUCCCACACUCGGCCCUGCCUUUGAGACUCUGGGGCAGCCCCUCCCUAAGUCACUUGCCUGAGAACUCAGGUCUCCAGCUCUGCCACUAAGGGGAUUGAUGUGGGCAUCAGCAGGAUUACCAGACAGGAGGUGGACUUAAGCAGCCCACCAGCUUUCUCUCUGCACCUGCCCCUCCUGCCUCCUCCCUUCUGUUUCCAGAAAGCAACCUACAGGGAUUUGCAAAUUGUGUAUCUGUUUAUGUUGAUCCUACGUCUGAAAACUUUGUAUGUUUUACCGAUGGUCCGGGAAACAGUACCACAAAAACCUACCAGAUUUGACCUUUGACUUCUCUGAGAGUGAGAGCCUCCCUCUUCCCCAUCCCAAGGUCCCAAGCUCUGCCAUGCCAGCCUUUCCACCUGCGGAGGUCUGCUCUUCCCUCAGACUCAAGCUUUCUCCAUUUGUGUCCCUUCAGUGGGAAGUUUGAUUUUUUUCCUUGCUAGUUUUCCAGUCGUUCUUUAGAUUUUAACUCAAGACUGUAUUCCAACUCAAACACAAUCAAUGCCCUUUCCUAAGACACUCCUGAACUGAGGAUACUUUGCAAAUAUUUAUUUGUUUGACAAUUUUCUUUUCCUCUCUUUGCAUGAAUUCAAAACUUGGAAAAGGCAGUUUCUCUGUUGCUCUCUAGGAUAUGACAGCAGCCAAAAUGACACUGGGAACAGAGACUGGCGCAGAGCUGAGCUGUCCUGAGAGAGAGAGGAUGGUGGUUCAUCUAAGACACACAUGUGAGUCAGCUGAUGUCUAUGCCUCCUCAGAACCCUAAGUGAACACAGACCUAUAGGGAUUGGGGGACACUGACAUCUUCUGGGGCUGCAGCAGGGUACACUUAUUUCUAGGGAACUUUGGCCCAGGUGCAGUGUACUUAACAGACCUUAAAUAGUUUGCAUAUGUCCCCAGGAAGGGACCAGCCAGGCCAGUAUCAUGUAAGCCCAUACAGUUUUCAAGACAACAUUUUCCAAACUAUAGAGCUCUUGGAGACAGGAAACAUUAUGUGGGGGACCUAGGUCAGUGGUCAUGGAGCUGGCUGGUCAUGGGGAAAAGUUUUCAUAUGGGGAGUCACUGUCUCUCAAGAUGUAAGAAUUAGAGCCCUAUGAGAGAGGCUUUUUCAAAGCCUCAUAAAUAUUUCACAAAUCUUUGAAAA
Cavia porcellus (domestic guinea pig) is the source of this 3577-nucleotide long non-coding RNA. RefSeq lists it as uncharacterized. The record is from RefSeq and is a predicted model, not a curated record. Lineage: Eukaryota; Metazoa; Chordata; Mammalia; Rodentia; Caviidae. The transcript has 3 exons.